GUAACACGUGGGUAACCUGCCUGUAAGACUGGGAUAACUCCGGGAAACCGGGGCUAAUACCGGAUGCUUGAUUGAACCGCAUGGUUCAAUCAUAAAAGGUGGCUUUCAGCUACCACUUGCAGAUGGACCCGCGGCGCAUUAGCUAGUUGGUGAGGUAACGGCUCACCAAGGCGACGAUGCGUAGCCGACCUGAGAGGGUGAUCGGCCACACUGGGACUGAGACACGGCCCAGACUCCUACGGGAGGCAGCAGUAGGGAAUCUUCCGCAAUGGACGAAAGUCUGACGGAGCAACGCCGCGUGAGUGAUGAAGGUUUUCGGAUCGUAAAACUCUGUUGUUAGGGAAGAACAAGUACCGUUCGAAUAGGGCGGUACCUUGACGGUACCUAACCAGAAAGCCACGGCUAACUACGUGCCAGCAGCCGCGGUAAUACGUAGGUGGCAAGCGUUGUCCGGAAUUAUUGGGCGUAAAGCGCGCGCAGGCGGUUUCUUAAGUCUGAUGUGAAAGCCCCCGGCUCAACCGGGGAGGGUCAUUGGAAACUGGGGAACUUGAGUGCAGAAGAGGAGAGUGGAAUUCCACGUGUAGCGGUGAAAUGCGUAGAGAUGUGGAGGAACACCAGUGGCGAAGGCGACUCUCUGGUCUGUAACUGACGCUGAGGCGCGAAAGCGUGGGGAGCGAACAGGAAAAGAUACCCUGGUAGUCCACGCCGUAAACGAUGAGUGCUAAGUGUUAGAGGGUUUCCGCCCUUUAGUGCUGCAGCAAACGCAUUAAGCACUCCGCCUGGGGAGUACGGUCGCAAGACUGAAACUCAAAGGAAUUGACGGGGGCCCGCACAAGCGGUGGAGCAUGUGGUUUAAUUCGAAGCAACGCGAAGAACCUUACCAGGUCUUGACAUCCUCUGACAACCCUAGAGAUAGGGCUUCCCCUUCGGGGGCAGAGUGACAGGUGGUGCAUGGUUGUCGUCAGCUCGUGUCGUGAGAUGUUGGGUUAAGUCCCGCAACGAGCGCAACCCUUGAUCUUAGUUGCCAGCAUUCAGUUGGGCACUCUAAGGUGACUGCCGGUGACAAACCGGAGGAAGGUGGGGAUGACGUCAAAUCAUCAUGCCCCUUAUGACCUGGGCUACACACGUGCUACAAUGGGCAGAACAAAGGGCAGCGAAGCCGCGAGGCUAAGCCAAUCCCACAAAUCUGUUCUCAGUUCGGAUCGCAGUCUGCAACUCGACUGCGUGAAGCUGGAAUCGCUAGUAAUCGCGGAUCAGCAUG
This 1261-nucleotide ribosomal RNA is filed under the name Bacillus licheniformis. RNAcentral's name for it is "bacterial SSU rRNA". It matches the Rfam family "Bacterial small subunit ribosomal RNA", at positions 110 to 1356 of the family's 1533-position model. The record is from RNAcentral. Lineage: Bacteria; Bacillati; Bacillota; Bacilli; Caryophanales; Bacillaceae.